GAUGAACGCUGGCGGCGUGCUUAACACAUGCAAGUCGAACGGUAAGGCCCUUCGGGGUACACGAGUGGCGAACGGGUGAGUAACACGUGGGUGAUCUGCCCUGCACUUCGGGAUAAGCCUGGGAAACUGGGUCUAAUACCGGAUAGGACCACUGCCUGCAUGGGUGGUGGUGGAAAGCUUUUGCGGUGUGGGAUGGGCCCGCGGCCUAUCAGCUUGUUGGUGGGGUGGUGGCCUACCAAGGCGACGACGGGUAGCCGGCCUGAGAGGGUGACCGGCCACACUGGGACUGAGAUACGGCCCAGACUCCUACGGGAGGCAGCAGUGGGGAAUAUUGCACAAUGGGCGCAAGCCUGAUGCAGCGACGCCGCGUGAGGGAUGACAGCCUUCGGGUUGUAAACCUCUUUCAGCACCGACGAAGCGCAAGUGACGGUAGGUGCAGAAGAAGGACCGGCCAACUACGUGCCAGCCGCCGCCGUAA
RNAcentral lists this ribosomal RNA (478 nucleotides) under uncultured bacterium. RNAcentral's name for it is "partial 16S ribosomal RNA". It matches the Rfam family "Bacterial small subunit ribosomal RNA", at positions 28 to 523 of the family's 1533-position model. The record is from RNAcentral.